Long non-coding RNA from Aethalodelphis obliquidens (Pacific white-sided dolphin), 459 nucleotides. RefSeq lists it as uncharacterized. NCBI's taxonomy places the organism in Eukaryota, Metazoa, Chordata, Mammalia, Artiodactyla, Delphinidae. The record is from RefSeq and is a predicted model, not a curated record. The transcript is spliced from 3 exons.
GGCCUUCUGGAGCUUUCCAUGUUAAGAAGAGCUCCUAGUGGCCUGAUCCCCCAAAAUGAAAUUGACUUCUGGGGUUAACAGGGCAAGGAAACCCGAAGCUCAGGAGUUGUAUAAAGUUGUAUGAAGCUUGAGCGCACCUCCCAACUCCCUGGUUGCUUUGCUGCCCUCCAGAACGGCUGUGAGAGCUUACCCGCCUAAGACUAUCAUCAUUAUAUCAUCCGACAUUUUCAGGGACAGACGUAUUCAGAAAACAAAAACAAUCAAAAACCCCAAGAGAGCCAGGCGCAGCAGGCCCUUGUUCCUAUCGGGCAACGUCUGGCUGGAUGUGGGAAGGACCAUCCUCUUUGAAGAGGCCGGUCCAGGCCAGCUCGCCAGGGCCCCCCACGCUCCCUGCUCUGCCUGGAACGUCUCCCGCUGUACGCGUUUCCUUUGCUGUUCUGGCUCAGAGGAGGAGAAUGA